CCUACGGGGUGCAGCAGUCGAGAAUUAUUCACAAUGGGGGAAACCCUGAUGGUGCGACGCCGCGUGGGGGAAUGAAGGUCUUCGGAUUGUAAACCCCUGUCAUGUGGGAGCAAAUUAAAAAGAUAGUACCACAAGAGGAAGAGCCGGCUAACUCUGUGCCAGCAGCCGCGGUAAUACAGAGGUCUCAAGCGUUGUUCGGAAUCACUGGGCGUAACGCGUGCGUAGGCUGUUUCGUAAGUCGUGUGUGAAAGGCGCGGGCUCAACCCGCGGACGGCACAUGAUACUGCGAGACUAGAGUAAUGGAGGGGGAACCGGAAUUCUCGGUGUAGCAGUGAAAUGCGUAGAUAUCGAGAGGAACACUCGUGGCGAAGGCGGGUUCCUGGACAUUAACUGACGCUGAGGCACGAAGGCCAGGGGAGCGAAAGGGAUUAGAUACCCGGGUAGUC
RNAcentral lists this ribosomal RNA (446 nucleotides) under uncultured bacterium. Its description in RNAcentral is "partial 16S ribosomal RNA". It matches the Rfam family "Bacterial small subunit ribosomal RNA", at positions 338 to 795 of the family's 1533-position model. The record is from RNAcentral.